This 253-nucleotide ribosomal RNA is filed under the name uncultured bacterium. RNAcentral describes it as "partial 16S ribosomal RNA". It matches the Rfam family "Bacterial small subunit ribosomal RNA", at positions 524 to 776 of the family's 1533-position model. The record is from RNAcentral.
UACGUAGGUGGCAAGCGUUAUCCGGAUUUACUGGGUGUAAAGGGCGUGUAGGCGGGUCUGCAAGUCAGAUGUGAAAUUCCAGGGCUCAACCCUGGACCUGCAUUUGAAACUGUAGAUCUUGAGUGAUGGAGAGGCAGGCGGAAUUCCGUGUGUAGCGGUGAAAUGCGUAGAUAUACGGAGGAACACCAGUGGCGAAGGCGGCCUGCUGGACAUUAACUGACGCUGAGGCGCGAAAGCGUGGGGAGCAAACAGG